UACGUAGGGUGCAAGCGUUGUCCGGAAUUAUUGGGCGUAAAGAGCUUGUAGGCGGUUUGUCGCGUCUGCUGUGAAAUUUCGGGGCUCAACCCCGAACUUGCAGUGGGUACGGGCAGACUAGAGUGUGGUAGGGGAGACUGGAAUUCCUGGUGUAGCGGUGAAAUGCGCAGAUAUCAGGAGGAACACCGAUGGCGAAGGCGGGUCUCUGGGCCGAUACUGACGCUGAGGAGCGAAAGCGUGGGGAGCGAACAGG
This 253-nucleotide ribosomal RNA is filed under the name uncultured bacterium. RNAcentral's name for it is "partial 16S ribosomal RNA". It matches the Rfam family "Bacterial small subunit ribosomal RNA", at positions 524 to 776 of the family's 1533-position model. The record is from RNAcentral.